GCCCCUGUAGCUCAGAGGAUAGAGCACCGGUUUCCUAAACCGGGUGUCGGAUGUUCGAGUCAUCUCAGGGGCGCCA
This 76-nucleotide transfer RNA is filed under the name Chloroflexota bacterium. RNAcentral describes it as "Chloroflexi bacterium tRNA-Arg". It matches the Rfam family "tRNA". Rfam says of the family: Transfer RNA (tRNA) molecules are approximately 80 nucleotides in length. RNAcentral also lists the same sequence under 1 other name. The record is from RNAcentral. Lineage: Bacteria; Bacillati; Chloroflexota.